RNAcentral lists this ribosomal RNA (253 nucleotides) under uncultured bacterium. Its description in RNAcentral is "partial 16S ribosomal RNA". It matches the Rfam family "Bacterial small subunit ribosomal RNA", at positions 524 to 776 of the family's 1533-position model. The record is from RNAcentral.
UACAGAGGGGGCAAGCGUUGUUCGGAAUUACUGGGCGUAAAGGGCGCGUAGGCGGCCUGUUAAGUCGAACGUGAAAUCCCCGGGCUCAACCCGGGAACUGCGUCCGAUACUGGCAGGCUUGAAUCCGGGAGAGGGAUGCGGAAUUCCAGGUGUAGCGGUGAAAUGCGCAGAUAUCAGGAAGAACCACCGUGGCGAAAGCGGCUCUCUGGAACGGUACUGACGCUGAGACGCGAAAGCGUGGGGAGCGAACAGG